CAGUACAAGCCAAAAUAAGGUGAAACCGCGAAAGGCUCAUUAAAUCAGUUAUGGUUCCUUAGAUCGUACACACAUUUACUUGGAUAACUGUGGUAAUUCUAGAGCUAAUACACGCAAACAGAGCUCCGACCAGAGAUAUAAGGAGUGCUUUUAUUAGAUCAAAACCAAUCGGCGGGCAGGCACUUGCUGUCUGUUCGUCGCCCUAUUUGGUGACUCUGAAUAACUUUAUGCUGAUCGUACGGUCUUGCACCGGCGACGCAUCUUUCAAAUGUCGGCCUUAUCAACUGUCGAUGGUAGGUUCUGCGUCUACCAUGGUUGUAACGGGUAACGGGGAAUCAAGGUUCGAUUCCGGAGAGGGAGCCUCAGAAACGGCUACCACAUCCAAGGAAGGCAGCAGGCGCGCAAAUUACCCACUCCCGGCACGGGGAGGUAGUGACGAAAAAUAACGAUACGGGACUCAUCCGAGGCCCCGUAAUCGGAAUGAGUACACUUUAAAUCCUUUAACAAGGAACAAUUGGAGGGCAAGUCUGGUGCCAGCAGCCGCGGUAAUUCCAGCUCCAAUAGCGUAUAUUAAAGUUGUUGCGGUUAAAAAGCACGUAGUUGAAUCUGUGUCCCGUGUUGUCGGUUCACCGCCCGCGGUGCUAACUGGCACGUCUCACGGGACGUCCUGCCGGUGG
This 677-nucleotide ribosomal RNA is filed under the name Nebria hellwigii. Its description in RNAcentral is "SSU rRNA". It matches the Rfam family "Eukaryotic small subunit ribosomal RNA", at positions 61 to 710 of the family's 1831-position model. The record is from RNAcentral. Lineage: Eukaryota; Metazoa; Arthropoda; Insecta; Coleoptera; Carabidae.